This is a long non-coding RNA of Bombus huntii, 3339 nucleotides long. RefSeq lists it as uncharacterized. The transcript has 3 exons. The record is from RefSeq and is a predicted model, not a curated record. NCBI's taxonomy places the organism in Eukaryota, Metazoa, Arthropoda, Insecta, Hymenoptera, Apidae.
AUUCACCAUGUACAACUUAGCAAUCUGUGUGCAGCCCGGGAGUGCUUAGUCUAGAAGUUUAAUGCAUUCCUACGACGUAUUAUUCUGUAGUGCGUAGUAUACGUAACACGUUCUAAUUUAAUAAAAGAUUUUAAUAAGAGGCCUACAAUGUGUAAUCGUUGCGCAUGUAAAACUCGCGUCAGCGAUUUAUACGUAAGAAGAAUUAUACGUAAGAAGAAGCUGUGAUAAUGUCAGGACGGUUCAAGGAAGAAUUUGUAUCUGCCAAAAAAAUCUUCAGACGUAUCUCUUGGCAUUUAUUGCUUCCUUCUCAGGGAGAUGUCUGUUGGUCGCGUGCCUUGUUGUUCUAAUAAUAGCCGUAACGCUAUGCACACGAGUCAAAGACCAAUUGGUAGAAACCAAACCUAUAGGUUCUGCUGGUCUCGAGUGAACGGUUUCGAGAGCGAUCGGCACAUCUCGGGUUUUGUUCCGACAAUUGAACGACUAUCGUAGAACCUGGAUGAGCUUCAUGAGCACACAUACACACACAUAUACGAAUAUUGUGGUAGCUCGUCCCGAGAAGAGUUCGAUUACUUGGUGGACUGUGGGAAAAUUGAAACGUGUAACAAUCUUAUUUAAAAUAUAUCGAAAUAGCUCAUACAUAUACGCGCAAACGAAGAGCAGCCGUUUUCCGAGUCAGCCGAGACCAAUAAAAUAGACAGAACGAAUGACAAAGAGCAAGAGAACAAAGCUAUCACCACCGUCACUCGAAGCUGAGUCAUCUAAACAUUCGAAAACGAUGAGUCGUGCAACUAGCGGAAAUUGGAAUCUUUAUAUUUUAAAAAAGGAUGAAUUUUAUUACAACACGAUACUGUUAUUAUGACAAAUGGAAGAGCUCAUUUACCGAUGGAAAAAUUAGCGAUUAUGUUGAGUAAAUUUCAACUUAAAUACUCUUCAUCAGUCUUAGGAAUAACGAGGUGAAAUUCCUCGGCUGAUCUGCUGUGACCGUUAUUAUUUAACAUAAAGUAGACCGAUGGAGUCUGCGGUUGAAUCCAUCCAUUAAUCAAAAAGAUUUUAGCGCUUCAAAAAGAUGUCGCAUUUCUCCUUAUUAGAAAAAGGUAAACGGGGUGUAAUUUAAUUUCUUGUCAACCAAUCAUUCAUCGGCUUCCAGCAAUGGCUUUAGUUUCGUGCUCAUUCGUACUCGUUACUUAUUUUACCAAUUCGAGUUGAAUUCGGGAAAAUUCAAUUAGAACUUGUCACGAAUUCGUUAAUAUCGAUUUCACGGACUUGAAAGGUUCGAUAUUAACGGGACUUCACCGUACUAACUUUCUGAUUUAAACAUAAAUUUCAUUUUCUAUUAAAGCGUUUACUAUUACCUAUUUUAUAUAAACUACGAUAGCACGCGUUAAAUUAACGUUGCAUGGCCGAUACUGGCUUGGCUUCUAGUCCUUCUAUGUGAAAUCAUGUCAACAGAAAUACCGAAUCUUUUAUUUGACUUGUACCAUGGUGAGAGUUCGACAACAAUUUAAGUGACUCGUACGACUUAUACGGCGAAUUUAGAUGGAUUCUUCCGCCUACCUAUUAGUUGUAAAGGAAAGUUAAUUAGUAACGAUGAAAAAUAUAUGGUCCCUUUGUAGAAAAAAAAAUCUUCCGAGGUAUGAGAACUUUUAUCAUAGUUCGUUCAUUGGUUGCACAUUAAAUGUAAUUUUCUCAUUAAUUACUUUUUUAAUCUAGGGGGAGUUAGUACAGAGAAAAGAUGGAGAAAAGUUUGUCAAUACUUUCUUAAUUCUCUCCCGAAGCUUUACUAAAGAUGUUUACAAUUUACUGUAAAUUCAUGGCUCUAUUAUUCGAAAAGAUGUUCUUAGGUAAUACGAUAUCUAAGAUUGAAAAAAAGAAAAAAUGUCAGACAAAUGUUGUCAAUUAAAUAAAUGGAACUAAUGAAACUUUAAUAUAAAUAGAUUCUAGCUGCCAGAGAAUUCGGAAAUGUGUAGCGCUAUAUUGCUUUAUAGGCAGUUUUUUUAUGUUUAGAGUAUAAAAUUUGGCUUCAAAUUAGAUGUAGCGUUAUUAAUUUGAAUACGUAAUUCGACAAUAAAUUGACGUAAAAUUUUUGUUAAAAAACACGUACAUCGUGUCAGUAUAAUUAAAAAGGACAUAUUUUUUCGAAACAUUUUUUAUAUGAUACCAUAAAUGUAAUUGGAACAGGAGGAUCAAUUAAUUCUUGCUCUAUAUCUCUUUCAUGACUUUUACAGUAUAGUAACUUAUCUGAUUUUUGUUCUCGUAAAGCUAGUACAUGCUUUGAAUAUAUUAAAACAGUUUAAUUAAAAUUAUUAAAACAGUAAGAAUUUAUAAAAAUUAAUGACAGAAAAUUGUCCUUACUUUAUCGUAAUAACCUCCUUUGCAUGAUAUUUUUUAUGAAGUAAUCGAAGAAACUAUUAUAUUUCUAGAUACUUUUAUAUAAAAAUAAAGAUUUUCAUCGACAAUGAUCAUGAAUAGUAUACAUUUUACAAAUUUUCUACUCUUCUAAAUAUACUUUCUGACAAACGUUGCAGGUUUUAUUACAAUAUCUGUUUUCGAACUUACGUAUUUUUACGUCCACGAUAAAUUCGAAAUUAAGAAUAAAAUGCAAGAUAAAAUUUGAAUUUUAAAGAGAGUUAUUAUACUAGAAAAUAAUAAAAACUACAAAAUGUGUAAUUAUUGGAUAUGUUCGUUGUAGAAAUUUGUAUUUGUAGAUAUUAAUAUCGAUAAGUGUAGUUUUUACUGAUGGCCUCGUACGAACUAUCAGUCCACUUGGGAAUUAGAAAGCAUGACCGACAUAACUCCAUGAUAGUGAAAUUCUAUCGGUAGAAGGUAUCGUGAAAAAUGGAAUUAUCCGGAAACCAUGCUAGCUGGCAAAUGGAAAGGGAGUUAAGCGGCCUUCGUCCAGCAAAUAAUUGAUGCACGUCAAUUAGAUUUGUCAGGGUGAUCGUUGCAAUGAAAUUAACAGGAACACCAGCCAUAGACACGUACAUGUACAAUGUACAUACUGGUGAUAGAUAUAUACAUGCAGACUGUUUUACGUACAAGGUGUAUUUCGAAUCAGUUGAUACUGAAUUCGAUAUGUUUGUUAGACAAGCUUCUAAUAAGUUUUUAGGAUAUACAAUAUACUUAUUUCAAUGUGGAGUAAUACCAUUUUUCCCAUAUAUUUUCAAUAUAUUGAAAAGGGCCACAUAAUAAGUAAACUAUCGCAAAAAAAGUGUCGCAAAUAAUUCCAAGUACUUUUAAUUCUACCUUAAAACCACCAAAACCUAACGUUAAUCUAGCAUAAACUGCAUGAAAUUAUUAGCGAGUAAUAGAAAUUAAACUAGAAAUAAAUCUAACCCUGAA